UAAGGAAUAUUGGUCAAUGGACGCAAGUCUGAACCAGCCAUGCCGCGUGAAGGAUUAAGGUCCUCUGGAUUGUAAAACUUCUUUUAUCUGGGACGAAAAAAGGCGAUUCUUCGUCACUUGACGGUACCAGAUGAAUAAGCACCGGCUAACUCCGUGCCAGCAGCCGCGGUAAUACGGAGGGUGCAAGCGUUAUCCGGAUUCACUGGGUUUAAAGGGUGCGUAGGCGGGCAGGUAAAGUCAGUGGUGAAAUCCUAGAGCUAACUCUAGAACUGCCAUUGAUACUAUCUGUCUUGAAUAUUGUGGAGGUAAGCGGAAUAUGUCAUGUAGCGGUGAAAUGCUUAGAUAUGACAUAGAACACCUAUUGCGAAGGCAGCUUACUACGCAUAUAUUGACGCUGAGGCACGAAAAGCGUGGGGAUCAAACAGGAUUAGAUACCCUGGUAGUCCACGCCCUAAACGAUGAUUACUCGACAUUUGUGAUACACUAUAAGUGUCUGAGCG
This 500-nucleotide ribosomal RNA is filed under the name uncultured bacterium. Its description in RNAcentral is "partial 16S ribosomal RNA". It matches the Rfam family "Bacterial small subunit ribosomal RNA", at positions 355 to 853 of the family's 1533-position model. The record is from RNAcentral.